GACGAACGCUGGCGGCGUGCUUAACACAUGCAAGUCGAACGGAAAGGCCCUGCUUUUGUGGGGUGCUCGAGUGGCGAACGGGUGAGUAACACGUGAGUAACCUGCCCUUGACUUUGGGAUAACUUCAGGAAACUGGGGCUAAUACCGGAUAGGAGCUCCUGCUGCAUGGUGGGGGUUGGAAAGUUUCGGCGGUUGGGGAUGGACUCGCGGCUUAUCAGCUUGUUGGUGGGGUAGUGGCUUACCAAGGCUUUGACGGGUAGCCGGCCUGAGAGGGUGACCGGCCACAUUGGGACUGAGAGACGGCCCAGACGCCUACGGGAGGCAGCAGGGGGGAAUAUUGCACAAUGGGCGGAAGCCUGAUGCAGCGACGCCGCGUGCGGGAUGACGGCCUUCGGGUUGUAAACCGCUUUCGCCUGUGACGAAGCGUGAGUGACGGUAAUGGGUAAAGAAGCACCGGCUAACUACGUG
RNAcentral lists this ribosomal RNA (468 nucleotides) under uncultured bacterium. RNAcentral's name for it is "partial 16S ribosomal RNA". It matches the Rfam family "Bacterial small subunit ribosomal RNA", at positions 28 to 507 of the family's 1533-position model. The record is from RNAcentral.